ACUCAAAUGAAUAGACGGGGGCCCGCACAAGCGGUGGAGUAUGUGGUUUAAUUCGAUGCAACGCGAAGAACCUUACCAGGGCUUGACAUCCCGGGAACCCUGUGGAAACAUGGGGGUGCCCUUCGGGGAGCCCGGAGACAGGUGGUGCAUGGCUGUCGUCAGCUCGUGUCGUGAGAUGUUGGAUUAAGUUCCGCAACGAGCGCAACCCUCGUUGCCUGUUGCCAGCGGUUCGGCCGGGCACUCAGGCGAGACUGCCGCAGCAAUGUGGAGGAAGGUGGGGAUGAUGUCAAGUCAGCAUGCCCCGUACGCCCUGGGCUACACACAUACUACAAUGCGAGGAGCAAACAGUUGCGCACCCGUGAGGGGAAGCUAAUCUGAGAAGGCCUCGCUCAGUGCAGAUUGCAGGCUGCAACUCGCCUGCAUGAAGGCGGAAUCGCUAGUAACCGUCGGUCAGCAUUACGACGGUGAAUACGUUCCCGGGCCUUGUACACACCGCCCGU
This 500-nucleotide ribosomal RNA is filed under the name uncultured bacterium. RNAcentral describes it as "bacterial SSU rRNA". It matches the Rfam family "Bacterial small subunit ribosomal RNA", at positions 899 to 1397 of the family's 1533-position model. The record is from RNAcentral.